GACGAACGCUGGCGGCGUGCUUAACACAUGCAAGUCGAACGGAAAGGCCCUGCUUUUGUGGGGUGCUCGAGUGGCGAACGGGUGAGUAACACGUGAGUAACCUGCCCUUGACUUUGGGAUAACUUCAGGAAACUGGGGCUAAUACCGGAUAGGAGCUCCUGCUGCAUGGUGGGGGUUGGAAAGUUUCGGCGGUUGGGGAUGGACUCGCGGCUUAUCAGCUUGUUGGUGGGGUAGUGGCUUACCAAGGCUUUGACGGGUAGCCGGCCUGAGAGGGUGACCGGCCACAUUGGGACUGAGAUACGGCCCAGACUCCUACGGGAGGCAGCAGUGGGGAAUAUUGCACAAUGGGCGGAAGCCUGAUGCAGCAACGCCGCGUGCGGGAUGACGGCCUUCGGGUUGUAAACCGCUUUCGCCUGUGACGAAGCGUGAGUGACGGUAAUGGGUAAAGAAGCACCGGCUAACUACGUGCCAGCAGCCGCGGUGAUACGUAGGGUGCGAGCGUUGUCCGGAUUUAUUGGGCGUAAAGGGCUCGUAGGUGGUUGAUCGCGUCGGAAGUGUAAUCUUGGGGCUUAACCCUGAGCGUGCUUUCGAUACGGGUUGACUUGAGGAAGGUAGGGGAGAAUGGAAUUCCUGGUGGAGCGGUGGAAUGCGCAGAUAUCAGGAGGAACACCAGUGGCGAAGGCGGUUCUCUGGGCCUUUCCUGACGCUGAGGAGCGAAAGCGUGGGGAGCGAACAGGCUUAGAUACCCUGGUAGUCCACGCUGUAAACGGUGGGUACUAGGUGUGGGGUCCGUUCCACGGGUUCCGUGCCGUAGCUAACGCUUUAAGUACCCCGCCUGGGGAGUACGGCCGCAAGGCUAAAACUCAAAGGAAUUGACGGGGCCCCGCACAAGCGGCGGAGCAUGCGGAUUAAUUCGAUGCAACGCGUAGAACCUUACCUGGGUUUGACAUGGAUCGGGAGCGCUCAGAGAUGGGUGUGCCUCUUUUGGGGUCGGUUCACAGGUGGUGCAUGGCUGUCGUCAGCUCGUGUCGUGAGAUGUUGGGUUAAGUCCCGCAACGAGCGCAACCCUUGUUCACUGUUGCCAGCACGUUAUGGUGGGGACUCAGUGGAGACCGCCGGGGUCAACUCGGAGGAAGGUGGGGAUGACGUCAAGUCAUCAUGCCCCUUAUGUCCAGGGCUUCACGCAUGCUACAAUGGCUGGUACAGAGAGUGGCGAGCCUGUGAGGGUGAGCGAAUCUCGGAAAGCCGGUCUCAGGUCGGAUUGGGGUCUGCAACUCGACCUCAUGAAGUCGGAGUCGCCAGUAAUCGCAGAUCAGCAACGCUGCGGUGAAUACGUUCCCGGG
Molecule: ribosomal RNA, 1343 nt
Filed under: uncultured bacterium
Lineage: Bacteria
Description: 16S ribosomal RNA
Rfam family: Bacterial small subunit ribosomal RNA
Source: RNAcentral